CAUACAACCAGAACCGCGAGCGGACAUGUUGGGGUCGGUAAAUGUAACCGAUUGCUGUUAAUGUGACGUCCAUUACUCGUGAGAUUCUCUCUAAAAGAGAUACAGUUAUCAAACCAUGUUCGUGUGGGUCCGUGAAUCACGUGAAUCAGGAUUUCUCUUCUUCAUCUUCGUCUGCGCUAGUACUAUAAUUAUCAAAGAUACCUAUGGAUUAGGAUCUAUAUACUUUUCCCCGUCAACACCUCCUACGCACAUUACAGAAGGAGGAACUAUCGGUGUGACCUGUAAAUCUACAAGUUGCGAUUCAUCUUGUUCUUUCCGUUGGAGUCGGCCAGGUCAACAAAGUCUAGAUGGCUCUCAGUUGACAGUAAGAGACAUAAGAAGAAGUCAAGCAGGAACUUAUACAUGUACUGUAUCUGAUUCUUCGGAUAUCAAAACGAAGAGGUUUGGGCUGAACGUCUAUUAUGGCCCAGACUCUGUACCAUUCAGCCUAUCAUCUCCCCACCACAUCAAAGAAGGAAACGACCUCACGGUGAGCUGUGCUACUUCUUGUAGUCCAAGCUGCAACUAUGCCUGGACGAUGGGGAGGCAGCAGAAAGCAACAAGUUCUGCGCUGACAAUACCAAACAUAAGUCGAGAUCAGGCAGGAACCUACACAUGUACUAUAACUAACACUGGCACCUCGACGACAAAGAACAAACAGUUUCAGCUGAAUGUUGACUAUGGCCCAGACUCCGUAACUUUCAGCUCGACACCACCAGAGCACAUCAACGAAGGUGACAGUCUUCGAGUGGCGUGUACUGCUGAAUGUAAACCAGGCUGCUCUUAUUCUUGGACAUUUGGGAAUCAGCAGAUUGGAACAGAUCCUGUAAAGCUAAUUCCAAGCAUUGGACGAGAUCAGUCAGGAACUUACACAUGCAUUGUUACCAACACCGCUACCCGGGACAGAAAAAGAAAGAUGUUUUCGCUGGACGUUUAUUACCAGCAGCAAAUCACGUCCCUCACAUUGAACUCACAACCUUCUGGAGUGACAGUCACUGAGCGGACUGUUGUGACUCUGCGGUGCGUGGUGGAUAGUAACCCGGUCUCUGACAUCAAACUCUUCAACGGCUCGUACCCCAUCCACGAGGUAUUCAACUCCAGCACCACCGAGUAUAGUUUGGGGCAAGUCGAGUGUUUAGACACCGGAGAGUAUAGAUGCAAGGGCAGAAAUAGAAUAUGGCAUGCCGUCUCCAGAACUGUGAAGCUCGACGUGACGUGCUCACCGAAGAUAGACCAUCGCGUUCCAUUCCAGGGUACAUUUCACGCAGCAUUAUUGAGUGACGCCACUCUGAGUGUACCCAUUAUAGCAAACCCGCCAGCACAAUGUAGAUGGUUCAGACUACAGGACAAUGGAGACAGACGCUUGCUCGGAACCAGCCGUCCAGAAGUGGUGUCUGCUGCAUCUGGUAUUGGGAAGUUCACGCUGAGGAAUGCUCAACUCGAAGACUUUGGCAGCUACCAGGUGGUUGUGUCCAACGGUGGUAAACCAGGCGAUCUCGUGCUGAACCUGACGCUCACUGCACAAGGCCCUCCAAGUAUUCCAUCUCAGUUCAAGGCGUGGAGCGACGAUCCACACUCGAUGCGUCUGUCGUGGAUGGAGGAAUUUAACGGAGGGGCAGCGCAGCUGUUUCUGGUUCACUACCGGAAACACAAGACCAAGGAGUCGGCGAACCGCACCGGACGCUACACGGAGAAAGGUCUGCACGCCAAACACACGGCGGUGAUACCUCAACUACAACCAACCACUCGCUAUCUCGUCAAGGUGCUGGCGUAUAACGUGUAUGGAUACAAGGACUUUACUGUGGAACUUGGGGUUGUCACCGCUGCCAUGCCAGAUCCAUUAAACUCAGCAGGCGUGGGGGUAGCCAUUGGGUUGGCCAUAGCUGUUGUCUUGGCGCUCAUUUUUGGAGCAAUUUUCCUCGUUUACCGACGUAUUAAAACAGGUAGUGUAAAUCUAUCAAGCUCUCGCAAAUCCAGUAUGUUUCAUAUUGAAGUCGAAAAUGAUGAUCCUCUGGAAAAACAAAGUACCACUGUGGAUGAUUUGGAAACAAUUUCAAAUCUGAGUUCUUCCGCUGGAACAACGCUAGAGCCUGAAAACGAAGGGAUCAGCAAUUCUGACAGCAAAACGCAGCCACAACAAGGUGAGACUUCGGGCAAGCAGUUGUCACGGACAUCAAACCCGUAUGCUGCACUCGGGACCAGAGAGCAAAAUGUGUAUGAAGGUCUUGGAGAUCCGAACAAAAAAGGUGAGACGCAGGACAAGAAACUGCCACAUGAAUCGAACCCGUAUUCUGCACUUGGAGCCAGAGAGGAAAACCUGUAUGAGGGUCUUGGAGACCAGAACAAAACAGACAACCAGCCGUCAGAGACACCAAAGCCGGAUGCAGAACCCGGGACCCCAGAGCAAAACCCUUAUGAUGAUCUUGAAGACCCCAGUAAGAAAGGUGAGGCGCUGGAAAACCCGUCACAGAAAUCGAACACUUUUGCUUCCGUUGGCAACAACGAGGAAACUCACUACGAAGAUCAUCAAGUCCAGCUUUAACAAGAUGAACAAGAGUGGUGAUGGUGAUGCUAGCAAUGCUGGUGAACAAUAUUUUCCCCGCUUUGAGUAACCGCUGGGGUAAUAAAAGUAUAUAGAAGACCACCAUACUAUUGAGGUAAAUAUUUACGUUUUUGAUGAAAAAGCGCAGACAGCAUUCAACAUGUAACGAUCAAAGUCCGUUCUAUUAA
Molecule: unclassified non-coding RNA, 2769 nt
Filed under: Gigantopelta aegis
Lineage: Eukaryota; Metazoa; Mollusca; Gastropoda; Neomphalida; Peltospiridae
Description: hemicentin-1-like, transcript variant X3
Source: RNAcentral